Molecule: long non-coding RNA, 377 nt
Filed under: Chinchilla lanigera (long-tailed chinchilla)
Lineage: Eukaryota; Metazoa; Chordata; Mammalia; Rodentia; Chinchillidae
Description: lncRNA (ENSCLAG00000026984.1)
Source: RNAcentral
UUCGAUGGGAUUUUAAACACACUAGUCCCCUGUUGUUGCCAUGGUAACCGGUUUGGGCCCUGACGGGUGACAGAAGGGUACCGCACAGUCCUGGUUCCUGUUUGAACAAACACGUGCGCCGAGUUUCCGCCUUGCGGCGGGAGGAGAGGAGGCUGGAAUCUCCACGCUUCCACAGCAAGGGCAAUCUUUAAAGGCAGUAAGGUGUGACGGCCCAGACUGGCAGCUUGGCAAGACAGAGCCCGUGGAUACCAGCACACAGGAAUCUGGACGGUUAAGCCCUCUCCUGUGACUCUUCUGCAACUUUUGGUCUGAGAAGAUAUGUAGGAAAAAGACCCUAAAGUAUCUCUUUAAUCCUGUUUCAUCAAACAUAAACCUGU